AGUGAACGCUGGCGGUAGGCCUAACACAUGCAAGUCGAACGGCAGCACAGUAAGAGCUUGCUCUUACGGGUGGCGAGUGGCGGACGGGUGAGGAAUACAUCGGAAUCUACUUUUUCGUGGGGGAUAACGUAGGGAAACUUACGCUAAUACCGCAUACGACCUACGGGUGAAAGCAGGGGAUCUUCGGACCUUGCGCGAUUGAAUGAGCCGAUGUCGGAUUAGCUAGUUGGCGGGGUAAAGGCCCACCAAGGCGACGAUCCGUAGCUGGUCUGAGAGGAUGAUCAGCCACACUGGAACUGAGACACGGUCCAGACUCCUACGGGAGGCAGCAGUGGGGAAUAUUGGACAAUGCGCGCAAGCCUGAUCCAGCCAUACCGCGUGGGUGAAGAAGGCCUUCGGGUUGUAAAGCCCUUUUGUUGGGAAAGAAAAGCAGCAGGUUAAUACCCCGCUGUUCUGACGGUACCCAAAGAAUAAGCACCGGCUAACUUCG
RNAcentral lists this ribosomal RNA (490 nucleotides) under uncultured bacterium. Its description in RNAcentral is "partial 16S ribosomal RNA". It matches the Rfam family "Bacterial small subunit ribosomal RNA", at positions 29 to 505 of the family's 1533-position model. The record is from RNAcentral.